GAGUCGGACCUGCCCAGUGAAUAUAUUUUAACGGCCGCGGUACUCUGACCGUGCAAAGGUAGCAUAAUCAUUUGCCCUAUAAUUGAGGGCUAGUAUGAAUGGUUUGACGUGAACAAAGCUGUCUCUAUGUAAUUUUUUAGAAUUUGAUUUCUAGGUGAGGAAACCUAGAUUUAAUUGAAAGACAAGAAGACCCUAUUGAGCUUUAAAAAAAUAAAUUGAAAAUAAUAUAUAAUUUUAAAUAUUAAUCUAUUUUAGAUUUUGGUUGGGGCGACUAUGGAACAAAUAAAGCUUCUUUAUUAAUUAGUAAAACUCACAAGUGUUGAUCCAGAAAUUUUGAUCAAUGGAAUUAGUUACCAUAGGGAUAACAGCAUAAUUCUCUUUGAGAGUCCUUAUCGAAAAGAGAGUUUGUGACCUCGAUGUUGGACUAGAAUAUCCUAAAGAUGCAGCAGUCUUUAAGGGUUGGUC
Molecule: ribosomal RNA, 465 nt
Filed under: Erronea caurica cf. derosa
Lineage: Eukaryota; Metazoa; Mollusca; Gastropoda; Littorinimorpha; Cypraeidae
Description: partial 16S large subunit ribosomal RNA
Rfam family: Bacterial large subunit ribosomal RNA
Source: RNAcentral